RNAcentral lists this ribosomal RNA (484 nucleotides) under uncultured bacterium. Its description in RNAcentral is "partial 16S ribosomal RNA". It matches the Rfam family "Bacterial small subunit ribosomal RNA", at positions 28 to 507 of the family's 1533-position model. The record is from RNAcentral.
AUUGAACGCUGGCGGCAUGCUUUACACAUGCAAGUCGAACGGCAGCGCGGGCUUCGGCCUGGCGGCGAGUGGCGAACGGGUGAGUAAUGCAUCGGAACGUGCCCAGUAGUGGGGGUUAGCCCGGCGAAGGCGGGAUUAUUACGGCAAACGACCUGAGGGUGAAGGGGGGGGACCGAAGGGCCUUGGGCUCUUGGGGGGGCGGAUGUCGGAUUGGCUAGUUGGUGGGGUAAAGGCUUACCAAGGCGACGAUCCGUAGCUGGUCUGAGAGGACGACCAGCCACACUGGGACUGAGACACGGCCCAGACUCCUACGGGAGGCAGCAGUGGGGAAUUUUGGACAAAGGGGGCAACCCUGAUCCAGCCAUGCCGCGUGCGGGAAGAAGGCCUUCGGGUUGUAAACCGCUUUUGUUCGGGAAGAAAUCCUCUGGGCUAAUACCCCGGGGGGAUGACGGUACCGGAAGAAUAAGCACCGGCUAACUACGUG